Molecule: unclassified non-coding RNA, 416 nt
Filed under: rhizosphere metagenome
Description: partial ribosomal RNA internal transcribed spacer region
Source: RNAcentral
GUAGGUGAACCUGCGGAAGGAUCAUUACCAUAAUGUGCGCUGUCACACGAGUCAUCACGCCUGGGCAGUAAUUCCCGCCAUAUAGUAGGGCAAAAGGCCACCCGGAGUGCCCCCGAAACAAAACUGUCGGGGGGAGGGCUGCAGUGUCAGCUGGGCUCCGGGGGCGGGAUAGAGUUAGAGUCCCGUCUGCGUCACGCAAGAAUCGAAAACGAACUUGAACCCGGUGCUGGGUUUGCCCGUCAGGGCUGAUUGGCCCGUUCACCUUCACAAAACCCUCCGUGUACCAUUUCCCUGUUGCUUCCCCGCGCCCCCGCGGCGCGGGGGAGGUCCACCUGAAACACAACAGCACCAAACUGCAGUCAGAAAAACAAACAAACAAUAAGUUAAAACUUUCAACAACGGAUCUCUUGGUUCCC